CCAGGACAUGCGGGAUUUAUUCAGCCCGGGUCUGUCACUUGUAUCCACGGCGUUAGAUCGCUCCAUCUGGCGGUGUACAUGCCGAUUAUCAUUCAGCUCCUACCUCACUACUGUCUUGGUUCAGACAUGGACGAAAGAUCUAAACUCCAGAGAAUCAUAGAACUUAACCUGACGGAUUAAUAGUUGAAAACAACAUUUUACAUAAACAUCGUGCAUUGAAUUUCAACAGCAACAAAGCUGCUAAAGAAUUAAAGCACAUUUCUAAACAUUAAAACAGUAAAUUAUUCAAAUCCAUUCACACAAAAUGAAUUGAACACCCAAGACCUUACUCAAGUAGGAUUUUGUAAAAAUGAAAAUAACAUAUUUUUCUAUUUGAUGCAAGAUCUUUGUACAAAUAUAACUUGAUCAUAAUGAACCUAACCCAGACUGCAUUCAUUCUCACUCCUCAAAAACAUGGAAAUCCACAAAGAUACAAGCAGUCUCUCUCCCUCACACUCACACACACACUGACAGGAUCAACGUUAAAUAACAUCAAUAAUUUUCAGAGGACGUUGAAUAAGUAGAAUUGCAUGGAAUGUUCAUCAAUUUUUGAUGGUGUUAUCAUGUUAUAUAUUUUAUUUUAAAAAUGCUCUUCUGAGCUUUUAGAAAUACAUACAACAAUUUAAUAGCUGCCCCCUAGGAAACACAUGACUGUUCCCAUUGCUAGUGUGAUCUGGUAUCUCAUUAGCAACUGAAAAGGAAGCUAUUCAGAAUUUGAUUCACCUUUGUACAACACAAUGGCCCCUUACUGGUGUGAGAAUUCAAAGCUUCCGAGACAAAGUGGAAACUGGAAGGAACCCCCACAUCCCUCAAACCUCCAACAAGAAAUUCCAGCAUAGCUGACUUUACUGUACAGAACAAUGAUUCAUCAAAAGGUAAUAAAGAAACUAUCCUGCUUUUGAGGUUGAUCUGUUGAGGAUAAUCUGAGGAUA
This is a non-coding RNA of Chiloscyllium plagiosum (whitespotted bambooshark), 971 nucleotides long. Lineage: Eukaryota; Metazoa; Chordata; Chondrichthyes; Orectolobiformes; Hemiscylliidae. The record is from RefSeq and is a predicted model, not a curated record.